This 301-nucleotide ribosomal RNA is filed under the name uncultured bacterium. Its description in RNAcentral is "partial 16S ribosomal RNA". It matches the Rfam family "Bacterial small subunit ribosomal RNA", at positions 509 to 807 of the family's 1533-position model. The record is from RNAcentral.
CAGUAGCCACGGUAAUACGUAGGGUGCGAGCGUUAAUCGGAAUUACUGGGCGUAAAGCGUGCGCAGGCGGUUCGUUAAGACAGAUGUGAAAUCCCCGGGCUUAACCUGGGAACUGCAUUUGUGACUGGCGAGCUAGAGUAUGGCAGAGGGGGGUAGAAUUCCACGUGUAGCAGAGAAAUGCGUAGAGAUGUGGAGGAAUACCGAUGGCGAAGGCAGCCCCCUGGGCCAGUACUGACGCUCAUGCACGAAAGCGUGGGGAGCAAACAGGAUUAGAUACCCGAGUAGUCCCUGUCUCUUAUAC